UACGUAGGUGACCAGCGUUGUCCGGAUUUACUGGGCGUAAAGAGCGCGCAGGCGGUCGUUCAAGUCGAGUGUGAAAGCCCCCGGCUCAACUGGGGAGGGUCAUUCGAUACUGAUCGACUGGAAGGCAGGAGAGGGAAGCGGAAUUCCCGGUGUAGUGGUGAAAUGCGUAGAUAUCGGGAGGAACACCGGUGGCGAAGGCGGCGUUCUGGACUGCAACUGACACUGAGAAACGAAAGCCAGGGUAGCAAACGGG
RNAcentral lists this ribosomal RNA (253 nucleotides) under uncultured bacterium. RNAcentral describes it as "partial 16S ribosomal RNA". It matches the Rfam family "Bacterial small subunit ribosomal RNA", at positions 524 to 776 of the family's 1533-position model. The record is from RNAcentral.